UCUGUGCCAGCAGCCGCGGUAAUACAGAGGGUGCAAGCGUUAAUCGGAAUUACUGGGCGUAAAGGGAGCGUAGGUGGCUCUAUAAGUCAGAUGUGAAAUCCCCGGGCUUAACCUGGGAACUGCAUCUGAAACUGUAGAGCUAGAGUAUGUGAGAGGGAGGUAGAAUUUCAGGUGUAGCGGUGAAAUGCGUAGAGAUCUGAAGGAAUACCGAUGGCGAAGGCAGCCUCCUGGCAUAAUACUGACACUGAGGCUCGAAAGCGUGGGUAGCAAACAGGAUUAGAUACCCUGGUAGUCCACGCCGUAAACGAUGUCUACUAGUCGUUGGGUCCCUUGAGGACUUAGUGACGCAGCUAACGCAAUAAGUAGACCGCCUGGGGAGUACGGCCGCAAGGUUAAAACUCAAAUGAAUUGACGGGGGCCCGCACAAGCGGUGGAGCAUGUGGUUUAAUUCGAUGCAACGCGAAGAACCUUACCUGGUCUUGACAUAUCUAGAAUCCUGCAGAGAUGCGGGAGUGCCUUCGGGAAUUAGAAUACAGGUGCUGCAUGGCUGUCGUCAGCUCGUGUCGUGAGAUGUUGGGUUAAGUCCCGCAACGAGCGCAACCCUUGUCCUUAGUUACCAGCGGGUUAAGCCGGGAACUCUAAGGAUACUGCCAGUGACAAACUGGAGGAAGGCGGGGACGACGUCAAGUCAUCAUGGCCCUUACGACCAGGGCUACACACGUGCUACAAUGGUAGGUACAGAGGGCAGCUACACAGCGAUGUGAUGCGAAUCUCAAAAAGCCUAUCGUAGUCCAGAUUGG
This 800-nucleotide ribosomal RNA is filed under the name Psychrobacter sp. UYIF38. RNAcentral describes it as "bacterial SSU rRNA". It matches the Rfam family "Bacterial small subunit ribosomal RNA", at positions 502 to 1301 of the family's 1533-position model. The record is from RNAcentral. Lineage: Bacteria; Pseudomonadati; Pseudomonadota; Gammaproteobacteria; Moraxellales; Moraxellaceae.